CCUGCUUCCGAUACGGGCAGACUAGAGGAAUGCAGGGGAGAAUGGAAUUCCUGGUGGAGCGGUGGAAUGCGCAGAUAUCAGGAGGAACACCGGUGGCGAAGGCGGUUCUCUGGGCAUUUCCUGACGCUGAGAAGCGAAAGCGUGGGGAGCAAACAGGCUUAGAUACCCUGGUAGUCCACGCCGUAAACGGUGGGCACUAGGUGUGGGGAACAUUCCACGUUCUCCGUGCCGCAGCUAACGCAUUAAGUGCCCCGCCUGGGGAGUACGGCCGCAAGGCUAAAACUCAAAGGAAUUGACGGGGGUCCGCACAAGCGGCGGAGCAUGCGGAUUAAUUCGAUGCAACGCGAAGAACCUUACCUGGGUUUGACAUAUACCGGAAAGCUGCAGAGAUGCAGCACCCGCAAGGUCGGUAUACAGGUGGUGCAUGGCUGUCGUCAGCUCGUGUCGUGAGAUGUUGGGUUAAGUCCCGCAACGAGCGCAACCCUCGUCCUAUGUUGCCAGCGGAUAAUGCCGGGGACUCAUAGGAGACUGCCGGGGUCAACUCGGAGGAAGGUGGGGAUGAUGUCAAGUCAUCAUGGCCUUUAUGUUCAGGGCUACACACGUGCUACAAUGGUUGGAACAAAACGUCGCAAUCUCGUAAGAGGGAGCUAAUCGCUAAAUCCAAUCUCAGUUCGGAUUGAAGUCUGCAAC
This 690-nucleotide ribosomal RNA is filed under the name uncultured bacterium. RNAcentral's name for it is "bacterial SSU rRNA". It matches the Rfam family "Bacterial small subunit ribosomal RNA", at positions 620 to 1311 of the family's 1533-position model. The record is from RNAcentral.